RNAcentral lists this long non-coding RNA (1028 nucleotides) under Manacus vitellinus (golden-collared manakin). RNAcentral describes it as "lncRNA (ENSMVIG00005011046.1)". The record is from RNAcentral. Lineage: Eukaryota; Metazoa; Chordata; Aves; Passeriformes; Pipridae.
ACCUUCCCGUUGGGUUUCCACCAUCCUUUGAUGCUUCCAAGACCUUCCCGUUGGGUUUCCACCAUCUUUUCAUGGUUCCAAGACCUUCCCAUUGGGUUUCCACCAUCAUUUCAUGCUUUCAAGACCUUCUCGUUGGGUUUCCACUCAUUUUUGAUGGUUUCCAGUCAAUUUUUGAUGGUUUCAAACCCUUCCCAUUGGGUUUCCACCAUCCUUUGAUGCUUCCAAGACCUUCCCGUUGAGUUUCCAUCAGUUUUUGUCGGUUUUAAGCCAUUUUUUGAGGGUUUCAAGACCUUCCCGUUGGUUUCCCACCAUCUUUUCAUGGAUUCAAGACCUUCCCCUUGGCUUUCCACCCCUUUUUGAUGGUUUCAAGACCUUCCCCUUGGGUUUGAACCCCUUUUUGACGGUUUCAAACCAAUUUUUGAGGGUUUCAAGCCACUCCCAUCGGGUCUCCCACCAUUUUUGGGUCACUUUUAGGCCAUUUUUUGCCACUUUCGAGCCAUUUCUUGAUGGUUUCAAGCCAUUCCCGUUGGGUUCCCAACAUUUUUUUGUCACUUUUAAUCCAUUUUUUGACAAUUUCAUUGGUUUCCCACCAUUUUUUCCCCGCUUUUAGGCCAUUUUUUUGUGGUCUCAACCUACUUUUUGAUGGUUUCCCACCUUUUUUUGUCACUUUUAGGCCAUUUAUUGACGAUUUCAACCCACCUUUGGAUGAUUUCCCACCAUUUUUGUCACUUUUAGGCCAUUUUUUCACGGUCUCAACCUACUUUUUGAUGGUUUCCCACCAUUUUCUGUCCCUUUUAGGCCAUUUUUUCACAGUCUCAACCUACUUUUUGAUGGUUUCCCACCACUUUUUGUCACUUUUAGGCCAUUUUUUCGCGGUCUCAACCUACUUUUUGAUGGUUUCCCACCAUUUUUUGUCGCUUUUAGGCCAUUUUUUUGUCACUUUUAGGCCAUUUAUUGACGAUUUCAAGCCAUUCCCGUUGGUUACCCACCAUUUUAUGUUGAUUUCAGGCCAUUUUUUGAUGGUUUGA